GCGGCUAUAGCUCAGCAGGAUAGAGUAGCACACUCCGAAUGUGAAGGUCGCGAGUUCGAAUCUCGCUAGCCGCA
RNAcentral lists this transfer RNA (74 nucleotides) under Eubacterium sp. RNAcentral's name for it is "tRNA-Arg". It matches the Rfam family "tRNA". From Rfam's summary of the family: Transfer RNA (tRNA) molecules are approximately 80 nucleotides in length. Their secondary structure includes four short double-helical elements and three loops (D, anti-codon, and T loops). RNAcentral also lists the same sequence under 2 other names. Lineage: Bacteria; Bacillati; Bacillota; Clostridia; Eubacteriales; Eubacteriaceae. The record is from RNAcentral.